RNAcentral lists this ribosomal RNA (465 nucleotides) under uncultured bacterium. RNAcentral's name for it is "partial 16S ribosomal RNA". It matches the Rfam family "Bacterial small subunit ribosomal RNA", at positions 28 to 507 of the family's 1533-position model. The record is from RNAcentral.
GACGAACGCUGGCGGCGUGCUUAACACAUGCAAGUCGAACGGAAAGGCCCUGCUUGCAGGGUACUCGAGUGGCGAACGGGUGAGUAACACGUGGGUGAUCUGCCCUGCACUUCGGGAUAAGCCUGGGAAACUGGGUCUAAUACCGGAUAGGAGUCAUUUUUAGUGUGAUGGUUGGAAAGUUUUUUCGGUGUAGGAUGAGCUCGCGGCCUAUCAGCUUGUUGGUGGGGUAAUGGCCUACCAAGGCGGCGACGGGUAGCCGGCCUGAGAGGGUGGACGGCCACAUUGGGACUGAGAUACGGCCCAGACUCCUACGGGAGGCAGCAGUGGGGAAUAUUGCACAAUGGGCGCAAGCCUGAUGCAGCGACGCCGCGUGGGGGAUGACGGCCUUCGGGUUGUAAACUCCUUUCGCUAGGGACGAAGCUUUUUGUGACGGUACCUAGAGAAGAAGCACCGGCUAACUACGUG